Molecule: ribosomal RNA, 253 nt
Filed under: uncultured bacterium
Lineage: Bacteria
Description: partial 16S ribosomal RNA
Rfam family: Bacterial small subunit ribosomal RNA
Source: RNAcentral
UACGGAGGGUGCAAGCGUUAUCCGGAUUCACUGGGUUUAAAGGGUGCGUAGGUGGGCAGGUAAGUCAGUGGUGAAAUCUCCGGGCUUAACCCGGAAACUGCCGUUGAUACUAUCUGUCUUGAAUAUCGUGGAGAUGAGCGGAAUAUGUCAUGUAGCGGUGAAAUGCUUAGAUAUGACAUAGAACACCGAUUGCGAAGGCAGCUCGUUACACGGUUAUUGACACUGAGGCACGAAAGCGUGGGGAUCAAACAGG